Molecule: small nuclear RNA, 18 nt
Filed under: Arabidopsis thaliana (thale cress)
Lineage: Eukaryota; Viridiplantae; Streptophyta; Magnoliopsida; Brassicales; Brassicaceae
Description: snRNA_00678
Source: RNAcentral
GCAGCACGCGCCUAACGG